RNAcentral lists this ribosomal RNA (468 nucleotides) under uncultured bacterium. RNAcentral describes it as "partial 16S ribosomal RNA". It matches the Rfam family "Bacterial small subunit ribosomal RNA", at positions 28 to 507 of the family's 1533-position model. The record is from RNAcentral.
GACGAACGCUGGCGGCGUGCCUAACACAUGCAAGUCGAACGGAAAGGCCCUGCUUUUGUGGGGUGCUCGAGGGGCGAGGGGGUGAGUUACACGUGAGUAUCCUGCCCUUGACUGGGGGAUAUCUUGAGACAACUGGGGCUAAUACCGGCGAGGAGCUCCUGCUGGUUGGGGGGGGUUGGAAAGCUUAGGCGGUUGGGGGUGGACUCGCGGCUUAUCAGCUGGUGGGUUGGGUAGUGGCUUACCAAGUCUUUGACGGGUAGCCGGCGUGAGAGGGCGACCGGCCACAUUACUCCUGCGAUACGGCCCAGACUCCUACAUGAGGCAGUGGUGGAGAGUAUUACACAGUGGGCGGAAGCCUGAUACGACGACGCCGCGAGCGGGAUGACGGCCUUCGUGUUGUAAACCGCUUUCGCCUGUGACGAAGCGUGAGUGACGGUACCGGGUAAAGAAGCACCGGCUAACUACGUG